AGGACGAACGCUGGCGGCGUGCUUAACACAUGCAAGUCGAACGGUGAUCCUCCUUCGGGAGGUGAUCAGCGGCGAACGGGUGAGUAACACGUGGGCAACCUGCCCCUCACACUGGGAUAACCUCGGGAAACCGGGGCUAAUACCGGAUACGACCUCGAGCGGCAUCUCUUGAGGUGGAAAGCUCCGACGGUGAGGGAUGGGCCCGCGGCCUAUCAGCUUGUUGGUGGGGUAAUGGCCUACCAAGGCGACGACGGGUA
RNAcentral lists this ribosomal RNA (257 nucleotides) under uncultured bacterium. RNAcentral's name for it is "partial small subunit ribosomal RNA". It matches the Rfam family "Bacterial small subunit ribosomal RNA", at positions 26 to 285 of the family's 1533-position model. The record is from RNAcentral.